Molecule: long non-coding RNA, 2142 nt
Organism: Urocitellus parryii (Arctic ground squirrel)
Lineage: Eukaryota; Metazoa; Chordata; Mammalia; Rodentia; Sciuridae
Source: RefSeq, a predicted model, not a curated record
CGCCCCACCACCCGGGCUGCCAGGCCGCACUCCAGGAGCACAGCUGCCCACUUCCAGCUUUUCCAUGGCCAUGACCCCAGCGUUCCCCCGAUCCCGAAGAGAUCCUACCUGGCGCUCCGUGGCAACCUCCGUGGAUUCGCAGGCUUCCACCUCGCCUAGAUUUCUCCUUGGAAGAAGGUACUGGAGACCCUCGUUCAACCCGUUAAGUGCCCUGCGGACUUUGGGGGGCAGACAUUUACUGAGAAGAUACCUGCCAACAAUUCAGGACAAGAGCAGUAGUCCUAAAUGCUGACUGGAACCUUGGAGCAGUKUGUGGGUAGAGCUUGUUAACUCUUACCUGUCCGGGGGCUUCAUCAGGGUGCUAUUUUUUGAAGGGCUUCAGUAUUUUCUCUGGGACUGCAGAUUGUCUGGGAACAAUCUUUCAAUGGGUGGAGAGCUCUUCCCCAGGUACCUUUACAGGAAGACCCUUCUCCCUGGAUUGCUGUUCACCAAGCCUCCUGCUGUGCUACAGGUGCUGAGGAUUGAAACCAGGGCCUCAGGCAUGCUCAGGGUGCACUCUGCCACUAAGCUAUACCACCAGUCUUCUGGAUUCAAGCUAGCUGUGAUGCCUAUGUUUGAGUCGGCCUUUGUCCCAGAAAGUUCAGGGGGACUUGGGUUGAAGCUCUGUGACGAAGACACCCUGCUGACACAUCUGUGUUAUGUGUGUUUAAUACUGUCUGCAUUGCAUUAGAGUGAAACAAGCACCAGGCUAUUAUUGUUCACAAUGUUUAAAAAGAAACCUUUACUAGGAAGACAUCUGAACACCCCUGGAGCCAAGAGAAGAGGCUGAGGCCAUGGACUUCCACAUGCCUGUACACAAAAUUAUGACUUACAUCCAUUUCAAGUUGUAAAUGCUAUCGUUUUGGGUCCCACCCCCCCUUUCUUCUCUGGGUUAAAAAGACCAUUGCCUACCCUGGCAGUGAAGCCCCAGAUCAGGAGAGGGCCUGGUCUGCUUAACCAUAUAGGAGUCAAAUGGCCCCGCUCCAUCCAUCUGUCCUCAGCAUUAAGGGGCAUUAUACUGGGGACGGUGGCUUCAGAAGAAGGCUGAACAUUACAUAGGCUUAAGUAACGACAAGUCCUUCUUGUUCAGCUGUUUGUCCACUUUCCAACCAAGGUAGAACAGRUCAUGUAGCCACCAAACCCAACAAAAAUAAGCAGCCCUGUCUUGUUUCCUCUGCAGUUCUUAUCAGUGCUUUGGAUGUAAAGAUUCCUCAUUAAAAAAAAAAAAAAAAUCCUCAUAACAUUGACUUUGGUAACAGGAGCUCGUGACAGAACGAAGAUGAGAAUGUGAAUGAGUGCUGCUGGGAAGCCAGCGUCCCUGCUCUGUCUUUCCAAGGCUGACAGCCACAUCCCCUCCCUCAGGGCUGCACUGCCUGUGAGUCAGCUGUGUGGCCAGGUCAGACCCUCAGGCCUGGCUGACUACAUUGAGGCCUGGGGGCUGAGGUAUGUGAAACUGAGCCAGUCCCUCGGCUUCUAGUAUCAGCUCUGUCCUGGGCAACUCGCUUUUCCUCUCUGUGUCUCAAUUUACUCAUCUUUAAAGUGAGCAAACUAGCACAGGGUUCAUGGGCUGACAAGAGGAACUUCCCCACAUCUAGAAUGGGCUGGUACCCACCUGAAGAGCACCCUCUAGGGGCCCAAAUUUUUUCCUCUUUUUCCCAGAGAAGGUAGUUGAGGCUUAGAGCCCAACUACUUGCCCAAGUCCUACAUCCUAACUCUCAUUCCUCUGUAGCCUCCUAUUUGCUGGGUCAGAUCCGAAGCAGCUCUGGAUGAACUGAGGCCUGGGCACGGGGGUGGGAGAGGGAGAUGUCCCCAGCUGCCAGUUUCUGUGAAGACUUCUUCAUGCCUGCACUUCUCCUCCCCACCUUAGCAUGAGUCAUGAGACGGUGAAAAGGCAUCAGCAUGCAGGGCUGCCUUUUUUGGCACCAGGUCCAUCCUCCUGGUGUCUCUGCAUAGGACCUCUUUGAGGACACAGGUGUAUCCCAGAGCUGAACUGGCAAAUCUUGUCACUGUGUACAAAUGGAAGCGCGCCAAAGAAUCUUCCUGGUGCCUGGUUAGCACGYGUAGGGCUUCUCCCCAUUGUGGGCCUGCAGUGGACACAGGCCU